Molecule: long non-coding RNA, 369 nt
Filed under: Salvia miltiorrhiza (redroot sage)
Lineage: Eukaryota; Viridiplantae; Streptophyta; Magnoliopsida; Lamiales; Lamiaceae
Description: long non-coding RNA (SMIL_LNC001600)
Source: RNAcentral
CUUAGUUAAAGGAAAUUUUUAUAAAUGUGGUGCAUAAGUUAUAAUUGGUGAGUUAAGUGUAUUUAUAUGAGCCACAUGAAUUUUAAAUUAUGCAUGAAGUCAUGAAUUUUAUCUAAAUUUGAUAGUACAUGUAACACCCCGUACUUUUCCCUAUGUUGUGAGAUAGUGUCUUAACACUAUUGAGAGUACUGAUAUGUCAGAGAGAUUGACUGUCAUAUUAAGAAAAUAGGAAUAAUGAGUUGGAAAUAGAGUCGAGAAAGAAAGAGUGAAAAACCUUGAAAAAAAAAAUAAAAAUCGGUCGGAGAGACGUCUAGUUUGUCUGUGUUUACCGACUGCUUUGACGUAAUAUUAUGUGAAAUUACGUGACUG